This 922-nucleotide ribosomal RNA is filed under the name uncultured Bacteroidota bacterium. Its description in RNAcentral is "bacterial SSU rRNA". It matches the Rfam family "Bacterial small subunit ribosomal RNA", at positions 1 to 916 of the family's 1533-position model. Lineage: Bacteria; Pseudomonadati; Bacteroidota. The record is from RNAcentral.
GAUCCAGACUUUGAUUCUGGCUCAGGAUGAACGCUAGCUACAGGCUUAACACAUGCAAGUCGAGGGAAACGAUAGAGAAAGCUUGCUUUUUCUAGGCGUCGACCGGCGCACGGGUGAGUAACGCGUAUCCAACCUGCCCAUCACUUGGGGAUAACCUUGCGAAAGUAAGACUAAUACCCAAUGAUAUCUCAAGAAGACAUCUGAAUGAGAUUAAAGAUUUAUCGGUGAUGGAUGGGGAUGCGUCUGAUUAGCUUGUUGGCGGGGUAACGGCCCACCAAGGCGACGAUCAGUAGGGGUUCUGAGAGGAAGGUCCCCCACAUUGGAACUGAGACACGGUCCAAACUCCUACGGGAGGCAGCAGUGAGGAAUAUUGGUCAAUGGGCGAGAGCCUGAACCAGCCAAGUAGCGUGCAGGAAGACGGCCCUAUGGGUUGUAAACUGCUUUUAUAAGGGAAUAAAGUGAGCCUCGUGAGGCUUUUUGCAUGUACCUUAUGAAUAAGGGCCGGCUAAUUCCGUGCCAGCAGCCGCGGUAAUACGGAAGGUCCGGGCGUUAUCCGGAUUUAUUGGGUUUAAAGGGAGCGUAGGCCGGAGAUCAAGCGUGUUGUGAAAUGUAGAUGCUCAACAUCUGCACUGCAGCGCGAACUGGUUUCCUUGAGUACGCACAAAGUGGGCGGAAUUCGUGGUGUAGCGGUGAAAUGCUUAGAUAUCACGAAGAACUCCGAUUGCGAAGGCAGCUCACUGGAGCGCAACUGACGCUGAAGCUCGAAAGUGCGGGUAUCGAACAGGAUUAGAUACCCUGGUAGUCCGCACGGUAAACGAUGGAUGCCCGCUGUUAGUCUGAAUAGGUCAGCGGCCAAGCGAAAGCACUAAGCAUCCCACCUGGGGAGUACGCCGGCAACGGUGCAACUCAAAUGAAUUGACGG